Molecule: ribosomal RNA, 408 nt
Filed under: Scheffersomyces coipomensis
Lineage: Eukaryota; Fungi; Ascomycota; Pichiomycetes; Serinales; Debaryomycetaceae
Description: eukaryotic LSU rRNA
Rfam family: Eukaryotic large subunit ribosomal RNA
Source: RNAcentral
UCUGGCGCCUUCGGUGUCCGAGUUGUAAUUUGAAGAAGGUAACUUUGGUUUUGGCUCUUGUCUAUGUUCCUUGGAACAGGACGUCACAGAGGGUGAGAAUCCCGUGCGAUGAGAUGCCCAAUUCCAUGUAAAGUGCUUUCGAAGAGUCGAGUUGUUUGGGAAUGCAGCUCUAAGUGGGUGGUAAAUUCCAUCUAAAGCUAAAUAUUGGCGAGAGACCGAUAGCGAACAAGUACAGUGAUGGAAAGAUGAAAAGAACUUUGAAAAGAGAGUGAAAAAGUACGUGAAAUUGUUGAAAGGGAAGGGUUUGAGAUCAGACUUGGUAUUUUGUAUGUUUUACUCUCGGGUGAGGCCUCUGCAGUUUACUGGGCCAGCAUCAGUUUGGAUGGUAGGAUAAUGACAUUGGAAUGU